RNAcentral lists this ribosomal RNA (301 nucleotides) under uncultured bacterium. Its description in RNAcentral is "partial 16S ribosomal RNA". It matches the Rfam family "Bacterial small subunit ribosomal RNA", at positions 509 to 807 of the family's 1533-position model. The record is from RNAcentral.
CAGUAGCCGCGGUAAUACGAAGGGUGCAAGCGUUAAUCGGAAUUACUGGGCGUAAAGCGUGCGUAGGCGGUGAGUUAAGUCUGCUGUGAAAUCCCCGGGCUCAACCUGGGAAUUGCAGUGGAUACUGGGUCACUAGAGUGUGGUAGAGGAUAGUGGAAUUUCCGGUGUAGCAGUGAAAUGCGUAGAGAUCGGAAGGAACAUCUGUGGCGAAGGCGACUAUCUGGGCCAACACUGACACUGAGGCACGAAAGCGUGGGGAGCAAACAGGAUUAGAUACCCGCGUAGUCCCUGUCUCUUAUAC